UACGUAGUGGCAAGCGUUAUUCCGGAAUUACUGGGUGUAAAGGGCGUGUAGGCGGUUUCCAAGUCGGAUGUGAAAGGCAAGGCUCAACUUUGCUCGGUCAUCCGAAACUGGAGAUCUUGAGUGUCUGAGGGGAAAGCGGAAUUCCUGGUGGAGCGGUAAAAUGCGUAGAGAUCAGGAGGAACACCGGCGGCGAAGGCGGCUUUCUGGCAGACAACUGACGCUGAGGCGCGAAAGCGUGGGGAGCAAACAGGAUUAGAUACCCUGGUAGUCCCU
This 273-nucleotide ribosomal RNA is filed under the name uncultured prokaryote. RNAcentral's name for it is "partial 16S ribosomal RNA". It matches the Rfam family "Bacterial small subunit ribosomal RNA", at positions 524 to 798 of the family's 1533-position model. The record is from RNAcentral.